UACGGAGGAUGCGAGCGUUGUCCGGAUUUAUUGGGUUUAAAGGGUGCGUAGGCGGGACCAUAAGUCAGCGGUGAAAGUUUUCGGCUCAACCGGAAAAUUGCCGUUGAAACUGUGGUUCUUGAGUGCAGAAGAGGUAGGCGGAAUUCGUUGUGUAGCGGUGAAAUGCGUAGAUAUAACGAAGAACACCAAUUGCGUAGGCAGCUUACCAUACUGCAACUGACGCUGAGGCACGAAAGUGUGGGUAUCAAACAGGAUUAGAUACCCUGGUAGUCCCU
Molecule: ribosomal RNA, 275 nt
Filed under: uncultured prokaryote
Description: partial 16S ribosomal RNA
Rfam family: Bacterial small subunit ribosomal RNA
Source: RNAcentral